UGGGGGAUAUUGCACAAUGGGCGAAAGCCUGAUGCAGCGACGCCGCGUGGGGGAUGAAGGCCUUCGGGUUGUAUACUUCUUUUGCUCUGAACAAGGCAUGCUAAUGGGUGUGUUGAGUGUAGGGGUUGAUUAGCGCCGGCUAACUACGUGCCAGCAGCCGCGGUAAUACGUAGGGCGCGAGCGUUGUCCGGAAUUAUUGGGCGUAAAGGGCUUGUAGGUGGCUGGUUGCGUCGGUCGUGAAAGCUCAUGGCUUAACUGUGGGUUUGCGGUGGGUACGGGCUGGCUUGAGUGCAGUAGGGGAGGCUGGAAUUCCUGGUGUAGCGGUGGAAUGCGCAGAUAUCAGGAGGAAUACCGGUGGCGAAGGCGGGUCUCUGGGCUGUUACUGACACUGAGGAGCGAAAGCAUGGGGAGCGAACAGG
RNAcentral lists this ribosomal RNA (419 nucleotides) under bacterium. RNAcentral's name for it is "partial 16S ribosomal RNA". It matches the Rfam family "Bacterial small subunit ribosomal RNA", at positions 355 to 776 of the family's 1533-position model. The record is from RNAcentral.